This 3408-nucleotide long non-coding RNA is filed under the name Malus domestica (apple). RNAcentral describes it as "long non-coding RNA (MDOM_LNC017139)". The record is from RNAcentral. Lineage: Eukaryota; Viridiplantae; Streptophyta; Magnoliopsida; Rosales; Rosaceae.
ACGACACCUGUGAUCAAGUUUGCCAAAGUUAUGUUUGCGUCUGCGAGAAGGCACUGUAAGUACCAGCGCUUCACCUUUUCCAUGAGUUGGAAUUUAUCGCCACCGCGGCCUCGGUGAAGGGGUCCGAUUGAGACGAUAUCAGGUUCGUAUGCCUGUAUUUUUUUUUCGCCGAAUCGGAUGGGGAACUCUGAAUAUGCAGCACGAUGCUGGCAAUGGCGAAUGGUUGAGAAGCUUUGCUCCGAUGGUGUUAGUCAAUUCUUCAACGAUACCGUCAGUGUCUAUAUGUAUGGAUUCCGCGGAAUUAUUAUCAUCAACUUUGCGACUUUCUCUCUUAUGUUUAGUGGCGAAUCUACCAAAGGACGAGGAGUGGCAGCAUGAGACGGGAAUCAAGGCGGGGAGCUGUAAAUCCCCUUCUCUCUCGUCGGAAUACAGGGCAACUGUAAUACUUGGUUGUGGCUCGUGCAUCGUCUUGGUCGAAUUUGCAGAGGAAGGGCGAUAGUUUGGUUGGAUUUGCAGAGGAAUGACGAAGACGGAGGAGAGAGGUUUGAGGAAUGAGUAUUUUUUAUUGAACAAGACUUGGCUGCUGAAGAAUGAGCAGCACGCCUGCUGAGAGCAGGGUUGGACAUCUGUUCAAGUUAUGAUCUUUUUAGUCACAACUUGAACAUGUGUUGCGCUAUGACAGGCUUUCAGCAGGGGUUGCUGAUUCUUUCAGCAGCCAAGUUAAAUCCUUUUUUAUUAGUUAGCCCAGCUGGCUUCUUGUGUUUUUGGAAAGAAUAUUAUGGAAAGAACUUGGCUCAGCAGCCGACCUUGCUUACAAUCAAUCCGGAAUGAACAUGUAUCCAAGUUUCUUAUUAAAAAAUCAAAAUUUAGACACGUGUUUAUCCUGAAUUGGUUGUAAUCAUGACCGGCUGCUGAAUUUACAGCAGCCAAGUUGUGUUGGAAUAUUAUUUUCUAUACUAAAACCUAGUGGAAAAUCACUGUUCACUAACAGUGCUACCUGGUUUUGCCCCUGAUCUAACACACGGUUUUCAGCCUUUUAAUUCCUAUUGGUGAUGCUGACAGCAUGUUCUGGUUUACAUAUGUCACGUGUUGAUCAUCCUCUUCCAUUUAAGAGACAGACAGAGGAAAAGGUGGAUGCAUUGCAGUUGCCUGGUGGCAGUAACCAAAGCCCAACCCGGUUGGCCUCCACCGUUCAUCAUGUGAGAGGGGCGACUGUUCACCAGCAGUGAAUUCUCAAAGCUGGCCUUCCAUUCCUUCCUUGACGGGUCUUUUUUCCCUCCCUGCUGCAGAAAAAUGAUCUCCUUGUCCUCAUUAUUAUCCUUCUUUUUUUCGAGAUUCUUCCGCUCUUUAGCCACAUGUUGAUCAUCCUGUGUAUCUUUUUUUUCAUUCGGACUCCCUCUUCGAUUACAGCGUUUUUUCCUUGACUAAUUCACACCUGGCAGCAAUGGUACAUGCCUUUCCACCGAAAAAUAAUUAAAAAACCUUACCUGUUCCACACCUUAACACCAAAAAAUAAUUAAAAAAACCAAAAAAAGAUAGAAAAGGAGAAAAAGGAAGAGAGAGAAACAAAAGCUGAGCAUGGAUUGUGAGAGAGGGCGUCCAUCACCAGAAAAAAAAUUAAUUAAAAAACACAACAUCAUGGCAUCUGGAACAGUUCCCCACCACUGUUCAUCACCUCCUCUUCAAUCAUCCUGUUCAAGCGUUGAUCAUUGUUGAAGGGCUCUGCUUCGACUCCUUCUCGAUUUUGGAGUAGGACUUUUUUUUCUCAACUGCAAUGUCGCAUAAUUUCUAAUUUAGUUGAUUUCUUUUAUAAUUAAUCUUUAAAUGAUGAAUCCAAAAAUAAAUAUUCCGAUCAUCGAGUAACACUGAAGGAAGAUAAAGAGAGCCACAAUGAGAAAGACCGAUCAAGGUCUUAUAUCUAUAUUAGUUUAGGUAGAAGAUAAAUAACAAUGUAAUAACAUCUUAUUUCGUGAUAGGACAAGCCACGUGAUCAAGCCGUCACACCCAAAUUCUGUCUACAUGGUUGUCCCAAAAAACUUCAAAUGACAAAACUUGUAGCUCUCACAAGUUCUAACACACACAAAAACCCAUCACAUGUCCAAACCUUAAGCGUUGGAAGCGAAAGAAAAUCAAGACAAAUAACAAAUUGAUACAACUAUUUAGGAGGAUGAUAAUACUGAUGAAUUGCAUAUACAGUCUGCAACAUUGUGAGCACCAGCAGAAUAAACGCAGCGACCAAAGAAAUAAUCGCCCACGGCGUACCGAAAUGCUCGCGCCUCAGCUUUUCCAUCCACUUGUUCCAGUCAGUCUUGUAAUACUUGUUCACUUCGUUGCAAAGUCCCUCGUAGUAAAAUCCGAUGACCGCCGUGUCGUUGUACAGCUCGUUGAACAACCGCGCAGCGUCUUCCGGGCUCAGCCAGUUCACCAGUAUUCCCAUCUCGCAAAGAAGGUCGAUGUCCUUGCUCGAAUCGAUGAGAUUAUCCAUCAGGACGGCGUAAGAUGUUAUCUUGUGGAGGCGGCUGUGACAGCAUUGCUCGAAGGCGAUGAGGUUCCUGAAGAGAGGCCCCGUCCGCUCGUCGAUUUCUAGUGGUGGAAUCGUGAACACCCCGUUUUCGAACUUUAUGUUCAUUAUGCCGUCCGGGGUUUUGAAGCUUCUUUGGAAUUUAAUGCCGGCUUCGGACAGAGUUGUCACGUUUGGAACCCCCUGCGGCAGCUCUCUCUCCUUGCUCUGCUGUUGGUCUUCACCCUCUUCUUUUCGUUUGGAGCCUAAAUCUUCAAACGGGACAACGAUCACGGUUCUUAUGAGAUCGAGUAUGUGCAGGGGUUCGGGAGGGACAUUCGGACUCGGUUUGAAAAUAAAAAUAUCAUCGUCCGCCACGGAUUGUCUGAAGAAGUUGAGGACAAGGUCGGUGAGGGAGGAGGCAUUUCCUUCGGAAGUAGUAUUCUUCACGGCGGUUAAAUUGUAUAACCGCUCGAGAACAAACCAUGGCAGCUGAUUUUCUAGCAGGAGAAGAUCAUGGUAAAGAUAUGGCAGCAUGCAGGUCACAUUGAAAACGGGGUCGUUCUCGUCUUGUCGAUUGACGGAAAGUGCUUUACGAAAUAGUUCGAUUAGGAAGCAUCCGUCGAUUACCAUCAUCUCAACGAAGUCUUUCUUGUUGAAAUGAUCCAAUGGCUCUGCGUAACAAUCACGAGCGCGCUUGUUGAAAUCCACGACACCCGUGAUCAAGUUUUUCAAAGUUAUGUUUGCGUCUGCGAGAAGGCACUGCAAGUACCAGCGCUUCACCUUUUCCAUGAGUUGGAAUUGAUCGCCACCGCGGCCUCGGUGAAAGGGCCCGAUUGAGACGAUAUCAGGUUCGUAUGCCUGUAUUUUUUUUCGCCGAAUCUGAUGGGGAACUCUGAAUAUGCAGC